GGAGAGGUGGCAGAGCGGUUGAAUGCGGCAGACUCGAAAUCUGUUUAAGCGAAAGCUUACGGGGGUUCGAAUCCCCCCCUCUCCG
Oscillatoriales cyanobacterium is the source of this 85-nucleotide transfer RNA. It matches the Rfam family "tRNA". From Rfam's summary of the family: Transfer RNA (tRNA) molecules are approximately 80 nucleotides in length. Their secondary structure includes four short double-helical elements and three loops (D, anti-codon, and T loops). The record is from Rfam. Lineage: Bacteria; Bacillati; Cyanobacteriota; Cyanophyceae; Oscillatoriales.